UGGGGGAUAUUGCACAAUGGGCGAAAGCCUGAUGCAGCGACGCCGCGUGGGGGAUGAAGGCCUUCGGGUUGUAAACUUCUUUUGCUCUGAACAAGGCAUGCCUUUGGGGUGUGUUGAGUGUAGGGGUUGAUUAGCGCCGGCUAACUACGUGCCAGCAGCCGCGGUAAUACGUAGGGCGCGAGCGUUGUCCGGAAUUAUUGGGCGUAAAGGGCUUGUAGGUGGCUGGUUGCGUCUGUCGUGAAAGCUCAUGGCUUAACUGUGGGUUUGCGGUGGGUACGGGCUGGCUUGAGUGCAGUAGGGGAGGCUGGAAUUCCUGGUGUAGCGGUGGAAUGCGCAGAUAUCAGGAGGAAUACCGGUGGCGAAGGCGGGUCUCUGGGCUGUUACUGACGCUGAGGAGCGAAAGCGUGGGGAGCAAACAGG
This 420-nucleotide ribosomal RNA is filed under the name Fusobacteriota bacterium. RNAcentral describes it as "Fusobacteria bacterium partial 16S ribosomal RNA". It matches the Rfam family "Bacterial small subunit ribosomal RNA", at positions 355 to 776 of the family's 1533-position model. Lineage: Bacteria; Fusobacteriati; Fusobacteriota. The record is from RNAcentral.